GUUCCCGAUGAUGUACGAAUUUGACCAUGCUAAUUCUGAUAUUGAUGAAACAUUUUUCUGUCAUUUCUGAGGGGACA
Molecule: non-coding RNA, 77 nt
Organism: Helianthus annuus (common sunflower)
Lineage: Eukaryota; Viridiplantae; Streptophyta; Magnoliopsida; Asterales; Asteraceae
Source: Rfam